Molecule: ribosomal RNA, 511 nt
Filed under: uncultured bacterium
Lineage: Bacteria
Description: partial 16S ribosomal RNA
Rfam family: Bacterial small subunit ribosomal RNA
Source: RNAcentral
AACGAACGUUAGCGGCGCGCCUAACACAUGCAAGUCGAACGCGACAGGGGCAACUCUGUUGAGUGGCGCACGGGUGAGUAACACGUAGGUAAUCUCCCCCCGAGUGGUGGAUAACCUUCCGAAAGGAGGGCUAAUACAGCAUAAGACCACGGCUUCGAAAGGAGCUGAGGUCAAAGCGGAGGAUCGCAAGACUUCGCGCUUGGGGAUGAGCCUGCGGCCCAUCAGGUAGUUGGCGGGGGUAACAGCCCACCAAGCCUAAGACGGGUAGCUGGGCUGAGAGGAUGAUCAGGCACACUGGAACUGGGACACGGUCCAGACGCCCACGGGAGGCAGCAGUGGGGAAUCUUGCGAAAUGGACGAAAGUCUGACGCAGCGACGCCGCGUGGGUGAUGAAGGCCUUCGGGUUGUAAAGCCCUGUGGGGAGGGACGAAUAAGUUUCAGCUAAUACCUGAAGCGAUGACGGUACCUCCUUAGCAAGCACCGGCUAACUCUGUGCCAGCCGCCGCCGUAA